Long non-coding RNA from Mus musculus (house mouse), 6548 nucleotides. RefSeq annotates it as predicted gene, 34414. The record is from RefSeq and is a predicted model, not a curated record. NCBI's taxonomy places the organism in Eukaryota, Metazoa, Chordata, Mammalia, Rodentia, Muridae. The transcript has 3 exons.
AUCCUCUGCUGGGGAAAUAUGACAUCCAGGGACUGGUGACCCGGCAUGAGGACCAAACAGCCCUCCUUGGGAACAUGUGUGAAGUGGCACAUGAGGAGGCAUCUCUGGUGUCAUGGCCCAGCAUCAGAUCUACUUCAGGACAUGUAAUGACUUAGAUUGGGGAACUGGAUAGAGCUUUGUGGGGUGCUGGUAUAUGUCACUCAGGACUUUCAGUUCUCAGUUUUGGGGGGUUGUGGGAGAAAAGGUGUCCAAUAUGUGGCCUGUGGUCCCCCUAACUGCUGAGCUUUGGUGAACACCAUCCUGACUGGCGUAGGUGAUGGCAGCUGCCCUGUCCUAUUGCCCAGCCAAAGUCCUUGUCCCUAUUUGCAGAUCAGAGACUCCAAGAGACCCUGACCCUUUUGCAUUCCGGCUCUGGGUAUCUGUCAGGCUGUGUCAACCAGAGACAGCUCUCUCCAGUCUCAGUGGAGGUUCUGGAAGAGCUGGGACACCAUGCAAGUCAGUGAAGGAUAUAGCCAAAAUGAACUCAGAUGGGGGCUGAUCUUCCUGCUCUGGGCUUGGAGGCCAAGAUAUGGGCUGGAGCCAGGGAGGUAUGUCUGCUGACAGUGAUUGAUCUCAGGGUUGGGGGAAUAGGCCAGUAGUUAUUGGGGGUGGCCCCAAAUCUAUGGACUCAAGUUAUGCGAGCCCAUACUUUCCUGAGCAGUUUGUGCUGACUGACCUGACACUCAGAAUUCCCUACUUGAAGCAGCAUUUAAAAAUAAAAAUGAGACCUUACCUCACACGAGACCAGAGACACAGGCAUCAGGAAUCCCUGGCUCUGGGCACCCGUUGCCCUCCCAUGGCUUCACCCAUGAGUUCUCAGGGACCCACUGUCUGGUUGGGCCACAGGGACUCACUGUGAGGAUUUUCAUGACAAUGUUGCUAAUAUUGACAGCAUUAUUUCCCGCCCCUGACUGCCCCCUGGCAUUCAUCUGCAUUGUCUGGUGCUGAAGGCAGGGGCAGAUGGAAGGGCUCUGAGACUGGGAGUGAGCGACGGAGAUCCAGGACCUGGCACACUGUGGGGGUGAGCACCCAGAUUCCCAAGGUUCAGGUUUGUGUAAAGACACCAGGAGAUAAUCCUUCGAAGGUACUGGACGCCAGCCUGAGUAGCAGGAUGGCCUUUUGUCUGGAGGCUGGAGGUAGUUCCAAUACUGCAGCCCUUGAGAACAGGGAUGGGGCAUGGCCUCACUGACCAUAGGCCUGGCAUCAGGCUGGCAUGUGGGGACUGACCUUCAUCUGUGUCUCUGCUGUCUGACCGCUGGACUCCCUCUGGAGUAGUGUCCGAAUCUCUGGUUCCUCCAGCAGUAGGUUCGCCAUUCCUGUUUCCUGGCCUUGGACUGGCUUGUUGGGGUGUUAGGAGCUGAGGCCCUUCCGACCUGUGGGUAGGGGAGCGACAUGUUUUGAGAGGUGAGGACAUCUUCAUCUAUUUCUUACUCUGCACAGAUGAGUCACCCAUGGUUUACACCACUGUGCUGGGAAAGGCAGCUUCCCAUAGGCUACGUUAAGGUUAAGAUAUGACCCACUUUCCUUUGCUGAUAGGGAACAGACACGAAACCCAAGUUUAGAGAAUGGGAUGUGUUGCAGGAUAUUUGAUCACACUGUGAAUCCUGAGAUUGUGUUAUUGACUGGAAAAACCUGUUUUUAGUUGUGGUGUGGCUCAGCCCUAGCACGCAUCUUUAGGUCAAGAGCUUUCUGCUUCAAUACUGUAAACAAGAUUAAGUAAAGUCAACCAUAGGUCAAGAGGCGGAGCCAGCAAUCAGCUGACAGGAAGUGAACAGAGGAUUAUCAGGAAAAAAAAACAGAGAGAGUAAAGGAAGUCAGGAGGACAGAUAGAGAGACGCACAGGAAGUAGCGGGGAGGGACAUUCAGUUGGAAGGUGCUCUUUUUUUUUUGUUUUUGCUUUUUGUUUGUUUGUUUGUUUUGGGGAUGGCGAUAAGCGAGAUGGGAAUUGUUUCUGGGAUGUUGUGGGCUGAGGAGAACGGUCAGCUGGGUGCUUUUUUUCUGCCUCUCUGACCAGCAGGCUUUCAUCCUCAGCAGGCUCCAGAGUCCUCAUUGGUAAAAUGGAAUGAUUGAGAUUUUGUUAAACAAAACAAGAUGCAAGGCGAAGUCUUCUGCAGACACUUCAGGAUGGAUUUUCAUCUGUGUAACAAGAAUUAUGAAAAAGGAAACUCGGUUUUGCAUGUGGUCAUGUGGUAAUGCUGUACUUGGGGCUGUGACCAUGAGUGAAUGGGGUUUGUGGCAGUUAUAUUGUGACCAUGAGUGAUGGGGCUGUGGCAGUCAUACUGUGAUCAUGAGUGAAUGGGGCUGGGGCAGUUAUGUUGUGACCAUGUGCAAGUGUCUGAAUUACCUAGUAGUUGGGUAAGAGCUCUGACAUCUUUAGAGGCCAAGGUAACCAGUCUGGUAGCUACCUAAUAUGGUUGGCAUUCACAAAAAGAUUUAUUUUUAUUUUUUGUAUAUGAAUGUUUUGCCUGCAUACAUAUCUGUGUACCACAUGAGUACCUGGUGUCCAUGGAAUCCAGAAGAGGGUGUAGGAGCCCCUGAGAUGAGUUACCAAUAGUUGUAAGCCAGCACUAGGGGGCUGGGAACUGAACCUGGAUCCUUGGACCCUCCCACAUCAGUCAAUAAAUAAGAAUAUGCAGCAAAGGCUUGUAACAGGCAAAUCUGGGAAGGACAUUUUCUUAGCUGAGGUUCCCUUGUCCCAAACGACUCUAGCCAUGUCAAACGGACAUACAACUAGCUAUCAUACCUGUCCCAUGGCCCUUGCUCUCUAACUUCUUCCAGUUCAGCUUCAUCUCUCUGAGGUUCUAUAGCCUCCCCAGACAUCUUGGGACUACGUGUGGGGACACUCCACAUGUCAACCAUAGCAAUAAGUCAUGCCAUUGUCCCCAUUUCACAAAGAAGGCCUCCUCAAAGGAAAGGAAGUCCCUGGAGUGACACAGCAUAGCUACUGUCAGCUUUAGGAGACUGAAGGUCACAUCCAUGGAUUUGGGACAAGGAAACGCCUGAAGCAAGGUAAGGGAGUAAGGUCAGGACAAACUUUGACAUUUUCCAUUUUCUGAGGGUUCCAUGUGGCUCUUGCCUGCUAACUGGGAUUUCUGAGUUCUGCAUGGUUGAUAGAGCUGCAACCCCUUAUUAAGUUACCAGGAGACAUGCUGUACUUCCCUGGCCUGUGUUCUCCAGGAGGAUCCUACUUCACCAGGUACUAUUCUCUUUUGGGAUCCUUUGUGGAGUAAGGGUGUAUCUGGGAGAUGUCAAGAUAUCCCUGACCUGGAAGGCCUUGUUGGAGUCUCCCAGUGGCUAGAUGGAUCUGGAUGGAUGAACUCUGGUGACUCCCACUCUUCCUCAGACCCAAGUCCUCUGUGUGGCUGGGUGUUCCCUCCAGCUGGCCACAGCCACACCCUCCUGGAACUCUAGUGAGCCUCUGAUAGCUUCCAUGUUGUGGGCCAUGGCCACAUCUGGCUGCCAGCCCAGGGGUUUAAACAGUCUGACAGGAGCCAGAUGUUGCAUUUUCUUCCCAUCCCAGAAGCUCCCAGCUCCUUCUGACAGACUUCCUUCUUAGUUCAGUGAUGCCAAGGGACCUCAGAAGCUGCCACCAGCCUGCAGAACCACGUCUUUGCUAUGUGAGCCACACAGCUCCCUCGCCCCACUCUGAGCUGACUCAUUUCAUUUCCCACAUGUUUGCCAGUGGGCAAGAACAAGGCUCUACCCUGGGUUGGACAUUUGGGGGUCCUAUGAUGAAAUGAAAUAAUGGAGUGCCUGCCUUCACUGAUGUUUGGGGAUGGUGUGGUGAAAAGCCUGUCUUUCUGCAAUAAUUCCAGCCCAGAAUUGGACUCUGCUCUUCAUGCAAACACAAAAUACACCACAAUUGGAAUUCUUCACAGCACUGUGCUUUGAGAAUUUAAUCCCCAAAUCAAAAUGCUGAAGGGUGUUUGGAGACAGAGCGUUUGGGAGGAGGUUAGGAUUAGGUGACACCGUGAGGAUGUGUCCCCAUGGGGGUGUUAGUCAACUGAGUUUAUCAUGUGGUGCCUGGGCCACCUCACUGCAGUGUGAGGGUCUUGCCAGAUGCUGACAUCACACUCUGGGGAUCCCCAAGCUGAGUGAACCUCUGUUCUCUGAAAGCUACCCAGCCUUGGGGUUUGCUAUGGCAACAGAAAACAAACGAAGAAAGCUCCAAAUGUUGGGGAGAAUGAUUCGAUGGAUGAGGUAACCAACAGGAGGAACUGAUGAAAAGCCUGAUUGGUCAAAUUAGAUUGAAGACGGCACCCCUGCCAUGGAGAGAAAACUGCAGCGACCCCUGGUCACAUCCCUCAAAGGGAAGGGUCAGGGUGAACUCAAGAUCUAAGAGUGAAGGAAAAGGAAACAGAACAACACACAGCCGAAUGGGUUUGUGACCCAGGGUGAACAACUCAUUUCAAAAGCAGAAGUCACACGGCAAAAGGACUUGAUCAUGUCAUAGCACACUGUGGGCAGCGCUGGGUUUCUUGGUCAGAGGGCAUGAGCAUCCUCCCCACCCAUGACCUGGCAGAUGCUCUUGGGUGAUGUCAUAUCAGGUUUCCUGAGACACACAGGAUGACACUUACUUAACAUCAUCUCAGGAGGAGGUGGCGCCCUCUGAUGGUUGGAGGACUGUGUAAGGAAGAAGUGGUGAGCGGAGGGACCUGGCAACAUGGUCUGAAAACCAGCAUUGAGCAGCUGAUGGGGAGGAGGAGGAGGAGCAGGAGGAGAGGAGGAGGAGGGAGCAUGAGAGCACACAGUACAAUCUCUGCAAGUAGAAAACACAUGGUUUGUAGGAACAUACACAAGGGGAAGGCAGGGCUCUUCAUUUGGGGGAUUCCUCAUCAUGCCUCAUAGAUGCCUGCAGCUGCUAGCUCACUGGGCAUUUUCCUCCUCUGAAGACCUGUGAGAAGGUAUAGUUUACAAAUGAGGUGCAGUAAGAGGUCAAGAGCAUUGAUUCGCACUGCUCUGGAACAGUUACUGCAUCCAGUAAAAUAAGCCCCAUCCUCAGUCUCUACUGCUUUGAUAAAGACUUGACCAAAAGCAAGAUGGGGCUAAAAGGGUUUAUUUCAUCUUACAGUCCGUCAUGGAGGGAAGUCAGGACAGGAACUGAAGCAGAGGGCGUGGAGGAACACAGUUUCUGACUUGUUCCCUAUGGCUUGUUCAACCUGCUUUCUUAGACACCCAGGAUCACCUGCCCAGGGGUGGCACCAUGUAAAGAGAGCUGCAUCAGUCACUACUCAAGAAAAUGCCAUACAGUCAUCGGGCAAGUUCCUCCUCCCAGAUGACUCUAGCGGUGUCAAGUUGAUGUAAAAUUAGCCAGCGUCAACCAAUCAAGAUGGCUAUGGAGUGACUCGUGAGGGCUGCACGUGCAGCGUGGAUAUAGAGAAGGCCGACAGCAGGAUGUUGUGGGUUUUAUCACACUUUCCAGAACACUGUGCAGUGUGACCUUUAUGAGCUACUUAUUUCUGGCAUUUUCCAUUUUCAGAUUGUGAUUGGCCACUGGUGACUGAAUCCGUGAACAGUGAAACUGAAGGUGUGUGUGUGUGUGUGUGUGUGUGUGUGUGUGUGUGUGUGUGUGAGACUAGUGACCACUGACAUCACAGGAAGAAAAGGACUGGGAAGAGAAGCAGAAAGACCAUUCCUAUCCCAUCCAAGUUUCCCACUCAGGAUGAACAGGUGCCCUAAUGGCGGAUAUGAUGGCACCAGUCACGAGGGCGAUGACAUGUAUGUAGUCAUGUUUGUCAGCAUCCCAGAGCCAGCACAUGCCGGGAAAGUACUCUGCUAGACACUGACACUAACUCAGGAAUCGGUAAACUUUUUCUGAGAAUAUUUCAGGCUUUUAAGCCUGGCCUUAUAAUACAUGGUCUUUGAAACACAAAAGUAGUCUCAGAGGUGCUCAAAGGACAAACAUGGUUGUGUUCUAAGAAAACCUUAGAUAAUCUUCACAAACAUUUAGAAUUUCAUGAAAUUUUCAUACUGUGAAAUAUUCUUUUUUGAAGUUUUUUUUUUUAGGUCAUUGAAAAUGAAAAAUAAUUCUUAGUAGAGUGUGGCAAGCUAGCAGAGGGCUAGAUUCUGUCUGGAUGAGGGAAAUGAUGGUCUCUGCCCUCUCUGCCAAGCUUGUCUGAGCAGAAUGUGUUUGACCAACAGUAAUGCCCUCACUUUGGCUUCCAGGCUAAAAUCUGUCCAGUGCUGCCUGAGGUCCUCAGAGAAACCAGGGCAGAAAGAUACCCUCAGGACUAUGGGGAGCCACAGUCACUGGGACCCCGUGGUCAUCUCACCGGCAAGGUGGCUCAUAGCUAAGGAAGGAGGAGAGCUUCUGAAGACAUUUCUUAGUUGUCAGGGUCACUCACCCCAGGAUUUCCAUUGGAGGGCACAGAUGUUACUAUUAUUAUUUAUCCUUUCUACUUUUGGCCCUUCAAGACACGGUUUCUUGUGUAGGCCUGACUUUCCUGGAACUCACUCUGUAGAACACACUCUGUAGACCAGGCUGGCCUUGAGGUCUUGCUUGCCUCUGC